AUGGAUGGGGUUUCGACGGAGCCUCGCCACCCGCUCCUGCAGGCCGUUCUCGACGGCGACCUCCGCCUCCUCAAAGAGAUGGCGGGCGUCGUGGCGGCGGACGUCGGCAUCAGGGCGCGCGCGCUGACUGUGGCGGUCAUGGAAGGGCGGCUGGACAUCUGUAGGUGCCUCGUCGAGGACCACGGCGUCGACGUCAACCAGCGCACCUUCACAGGUGACACUCCUCUGGCCAUUUCUGCGACUUAUGGGACGCCUGCUACCACCAGAUAUCUUCUGGAUCGUGGUGCUGAUCCAACUUUAGCUGGUGCCCUGUGGCCACCUCUUCAUGCUGCUGCAAGUUUUGGACAAUGUGAGAUAGUGGAAUUGCUGCUUUCAACUGGAAUUGAUGUGGAUCAUUUCGAUUCUGUGUAUGGGACCGCAUUGCAUGUUGCCGCUACUAAUGGUCAAGAUGGCUCGAUGAAUAUUUUGUUGCAGCAUCAUGCAGAUCCUAAUAAGGUUUUCCGCCUUGAUAGUACCCCGUUAAGGCUGGCCAUGAUUUCUGAAUCGCUGGAAUGUGUGAAUCUACUCAUUAAGGCUGGCGCUGAUGUGAAUAAAAUUGACUAUACUGGUGUUACUUACUUGAUGAUAGCAGCGGGCAAUGGCUUAUCUGAUAUCCUGAAAUGCUUACUAGAUGCUGGUGCUAACCCAGAUAUUGAUGAUGGGUUUGGUACAACUCCAAUCGAAAUUGCCGCCCUCCAAGCCAGAUGGGAUAUGGUUGCGAUGUUAUUUCCUUUAACUUCUCCCAUUUCAAGAUUGCCGGAUUGGAGUAUUGAUGGAAUUAUUUCUCAUGUGCAAUCUUUUGGUUUGAAGCCGAGGGAUAUACAUCUAUGUGAAGCGAAAAGAGCUGAACUAAAGUUGCAAGCUACAGAGGCUUUUAAGAGAAAGGAAUAUAUCAUAGCAGGAGACCUAUAUACUUGUGCAAUGAGUUUUCAGCCUAGUCCAAAAGGUCUUGCAAACCUGCUAGCACAUAGGAGUUUCUGUAUGUUGCACGCGGGGAUAGGAAAAGAGGCUCUCUCCGACGCUGCUAGGUGCACAGUGCUACGACCUCUUUGGCCCAAAGGUUACUAUCGACUAGGAGCAGCCUUUAUGUUGCUACAGGACUAUGGAAAAGCAGCUCAGACGUUCGAAGCUGGCUUGAAACUGGACCCUACAAAUGCGGAUAUGGCAAACGCUUUAAGGGAAGCCCAAGAGACGGCGAGGAAUCCUCCUCGCACCAGGGGGCUGGAGUGCCUUCACCCAUUUGGAAUGAGACGUUCCUGGAGUGAUUGA
Molecule: ribosomal RNA, 1308 nt
Filed under: Triticum aestivum (bread wheat)
Lineage: Eukaryota; Viridiplantae; Streptophyta; Magnoliopsida; Poales; Poaceae
Description: partial small subunit ribosomal RNA
Source: RNAcentral